RNAcentral lists this ribosomal RNA (315 nucleotides) under uncultured Bacteroidales bacterium. RNAcentral's name for it is "bacterial SSU rRNA". It matches the Rfam family "Bacterial small subunit ribosomal RNA", at positions 28 to 339 of the family's 1533-position model. Lineage: Bacteria; Pseudomonadati; Bacteroidota; Bacteroidia; Bacteroidales. The record is from RNAcentral.
GAUGAACGCUAGCGGCAGGCUUAACACAUGCAAGUCGAGGGGCAGCGGGUUGUAGCAAUACAAUGCCGGCGACCGGCGAAAGGGUGAGUAACGCGUGAGCAACAUGCCCGAUACUGGAGGAUAGUCGAUGGAAACGUCGCGUAAUACUCCGUAACAACAGAGAUCGCAUGGUUUUUGUUUAAUAGAUUUAUCGGUAUCGGAUUGGCUCGCGUGACAUUAGCUAGUCGGCGGGGUAACGGCCCACCGAGGCGACGAUGUCUAGGGGUUCUGAGAGGAAGGUCCCCCACACUGGAACUGAGACACGGUCCAGACUCC